AGAGCCUUUAAUCCAGUCCCGUGAGGCUGGCAAGGUUGCGGAAUUCAUCAGGUAGUAGUUUAUUUGAUCUGCUUCUUGUCCAGCUCUGGGGCAAGAAGCUUUUUUU
Molecule: regulatory RNA element, 106 nt
Organism: Seinonella peptonophila
Lineage: Bacteria; Bacillati; Bacillota; Bacilli; Caryophanales; Thermoactinomycetaceae
Rfam family: PyrR binding site
About the family: This family represents the PyrR binding site and terminator structure. This RNA structure is found upstream of a variety of genes involved in pyrimidine biosynthesis and transport. The alignment also includes a portion of the antiterminator structure.
Source: Rfam